This 509-nucleotide ribosomal RNA is filed under the name uncultured bacterium. RNAcentral describes it as "bacterial SSU rRNA". It matches the Rfam family "Bacterial small subunit ribosomal RNA", at positions 1000 to 1509 of the family's 1533-position model. The record is from RNAcentral.
CCAGAGAUGGAUUGGUGCCUUCGGGAACUUAGAUACAGGUGCUGCAUGGCUGUCGUCAGCUCGUGUCGUGAGAUGUUGGGUUAAGUCCCGCAACGAGCGCAACCUUUUCCUUAUUUGCCAGCGGGUCAUGCCGGGAACUUUAAGGAUACUGCCAGUGACAAACUGGAGGAAGGCGGGGACGACGUCAAGUCAUCAUGGCCCUUACGGCCAGGGCUACACACGUGCUACAAUGGUCGGUACAAAGGGUUGCUACCUCGCGAGAGGAUGCUAAUCUCAAAAAGCCGAUCGUAGUCCGGAUCGCAGUCUGCAACUCGACUGCGUGAAGUCGGAAUCGCUAGUAAUCGCGGAUCAGAAUGCCGCGGUGAAUACGUUCCCGGGCCUUGUACACACCGCCCGUCACACCAUGGGAGUUUGUUGCACCAGAAGUAGGUAGUCUAACCGCAAGGAGGACGCUUACCACGGUGUGGCCGAUGACUGGGGUGAAGUCGUAACAAGGUAGGCGUAGAUGA